UACGGAGGGUCCAAGCGUUAUCCGGAUUUAUUGGGUUUAAAGGGUACGUAGGCGGAAAAUUAAGUCAGUAGUGAAAGCCUCCCGCUUAACGGGAGAACUGCUAUUGAUACUGGUUUUCUUGAAUAUAGUUGAAGUAGGCGGAAUACGACAUGUAGCGGUGAAAUGCAUAGAUAUGUCGUGGAACACCGAUUGCGAAGGCAGCUUACUAAGCUAUUAUUGACGCUGAUGUACGAAAGCGUGGGGAGCGAACAGG
This 253-nucleotide ribosomal RNA is filed under the name uncultured bacterium. RNAcentral's name for it is "partial 16S ribosomal RNA". It matches the Rfam family "Bacterial small subunit ribosomal RNA", at positions 524 to 776 of the family's 1533-position model. The record is from RNAcentral.